RNAcentral lists this unclassified non-coding RNA (545 nucleotides) under Hevea brasiliensis (rubber tree). Lineage: Eukaryota; Viridiplantae; Streptophyta; Magnoliopsida; Malpighiales; Euphorbiaceae. The record is from RNAcentral.
CAGACCGGUGAGCUUUGGCUUAGAGGUCCUUCUAUUAUGAAAGGUUACUUUUUAAAUACUGAAGCUACAUCAACAACUCUUGACUCCGAGGGAUGGUUAAGAACUGGGGAUCUAUGCUACAUUGAUGAUGACGGCUUUAUUUUUGUUGUUGAUCGACUGAAGGAGUUGAUCAAAUACAAGGGAUAUCAGGUCCCUCCUGCGGAACUAGAGGCCUUGUUGCUUACUCAUGAGGAAAUUUCCGAUGCUGCUGUAAUCCCGUUUCCGGACAAGGAGGCUGGGCAAUUUCCCAUGGCAUAUGUUGUAAGAAAGGCCGGAAGUAAUUUAUCUGAGAGUGCUGUCAUGGAUUUCGUGGCAAGACAGGCGGCCCCAUACAAGAGAAUCCGAAGAGUUGCAUUUAUUGGAGCCAUACCCAAGAAUCCAUCAGGCAAGAUUCUCAGGAAGGAUCUGAUAAAGCUUGCCUGAUGGAUUCUUGUUUGGGUUUUGGAAUAACAAAUGUCCUUAAAACAAUGGACUACUAGAAUGUCCAUAUCAAUUGCCAUUUUUUA